RNAcentral lists this ribosomal RNA (822 nucleotides) under uncultured bacterium. RNAcentral describes it as "bacterial SSU rRNA". It matches the Rfam family "Bacterial small subunit ribosomal RNA", at positions 100 to 934 of the family's 1533-position model. The record is from RNAcentral.
GAACGGGUGAGUAACACGUGGGUGAUCUGCCCUGCACUUUGGGAUAAGCCUGGGAAACUGGGUCUAAUACCGAAUAUGACCAUGCGCCUCCUGGUGUGUGGUGGAAAGCUUUUGCGGUGUGGGAUGGGCCCGCGGCCUAUCAGCUUGUUGGUGGGGUAAUGGCCUACCAAGGCGACGACGGGUAGCCGGCCUGAGAGGGUGACCGGCCACACUGGGACUGAGAUACGGCCCAGACUCCUACGGGAGGCAGCAGUGGGGAAUAUUGCACAAUGGGCGCAAGCCUGAUGCAGCGACGCCGCGUGAGGGAUGACGGCCUUCGGGUUGUAAACCUCUUUCAGCACAGACGAAGCGCAAGUGACGGUAUGUGCAGAAGAAGGACCGGCCAACUACGUGCCAGCAGCCGCGGUAAUACGUAGGGUCCGAGCGUUGUCCGGAAUUACUGGGCGUAAAGAGCUCGUAGGUGGUUUGUCGCGUUGUUCGUGAAAACUCACAGCUUAACUGUGGGCGUGCGGGCGAUACGGGCAGACUUGAGUACUGCAGGGGAGACUGGAAUUCCUGGUGUAGCGGUGGAAUGCGCAGAUAUCAGGAGGAACACCGGUGGCGAAGGCGGGUCUCUGGGCAGUAACUGACGCUGAGGAGCGAAAGCGUGGGGAGCGAACAGGAUUAGAUACCCUGGUAGUCCACGCCGUAAACGGUGGGUACUAGGUGUGGGUUUCCUUCCUUGGGAUCCGUGCCGUAGCUAACGCAUUAAGUACCCCGCCUGGGGAGUACGGCCGNCAGGCUAAAACUCAAAGAAAUUGACGGGGGCCCGCACAAGCGGCG